Small nuclear RNA from Ailuropoda melanoleuca (giant panda), 109 nucleotides. NCBI's taxonomy places the organism in Eukaryota, Metazoa, Chordata, Mammalia, Carnivora, Ursidae. The record is from Ensembl.
GUGCUCACUUCAGCAGCACAUACACUAAAAUUGAAAUGAUUACAGGGAAGAUUGGCACAGUCCCCACACAUGGAUGACAUAGCGUGAACUUCAGAUUAAAGAAAUAGUC